This 567-nucleotide ribosomal RNA is filed under the name Wenyingozyma nitratophila. RNAcentral describes it as "eukaryotic LSU rRNA". It matches the Rfam family "Eukaryotic large subunit ribosomal RNA", at positions 62 to 648 of the family's 3401-position model. The record is from RNAcentral. Lineage: Eukaryota; Fungi; Ascomycota; Pichiomycetes; Pichiales; Pichiaceae.
AAACCAACAGGGAUUGCCUUAGUAGUGGCGAAUGAAGCGGCAAGAGCUCAAAUUUGAAAUCUGGUAUCUUCGAUAUCCGAGUUGUAAUUUGAAGAAAGCAAUCUUGGAAUUGGUCCUUGUCUAUGUUCCUUGGAACAGGACGUCACAGAGGGUGAGAAUCCCGUGCGACAAGGAACUCUUUUCUAUAUAAGAUGUUUUCGAAGAGUCGAGUUGUUUGGGAAUGCAGCUCAAAGUGGGUGGUAAAUUCCAUCUAAAGCUAAAUAUUGGCGAGAGACCGAUAGCGAACAAGUACUGUGAAGGAAAGAUGAAAAGAACUUUGAAAAGAGAGUGAAAAAGUACGUGAAAUUGUUGAAAGGGAAGGGUAUUCGAUCAGACUGGUAUUUAGUUAUCAUUGCUCCUUGUGGGUGGUGCUCUAGCUUUUUACUGGGCCAACAUCAGUUUUGGUGGUAAGAUAAUCGCAGUUGAAUGUGGCUCCCUCGGGAGUGUUAUAGCUUCUGUUGAUGUUACCUACCGGGACUGAGGUCUGCGGCUUUUGCCUAGGAUGUUGGCGUAAUGAUCCAAUACCGC